Molecule: ribosomal RNA, 433 nt
Filed under: uncultured bacterium
Lineage: Bacteria
Description: partial 16S ribosomal RNA
Rfam family: Bacterial small subunit ribosomal RNA
Source: RNAcentral
AACGAACGCUGGCGGCAUGCCUAACACAUGCAAGUCGAACGAGACCUUCGGGUCUAGUGGCGCACGGGUGCGUAACGCGUGGGAACCUGCCCUUAGGUUCGGAAUAACUCCCCGAAAGGGGUGCUAAUACCGGAUAAUGUCUUCGGACCAAAGAUUUAUCGCCUUUGGAUGGGCCCGCGUUGGAUUAGCUAGUUGGUAGGGUAAAAGCCUACCAAGGCGACGAUACAUAGCUGGUCUGAGAGGAGGAUCAGCCACACUGGGACUGAGACACGGCCCAGACUACUACGGGAGGGAGCAAUGGGGAAUAUUGGAAAAUGGGCGAAAGCCUGAUCCAGCAAUGCCGCGUGAGUGAUGAAGGCCUUAGGGAUGUAAAGCUCUUUUACCCGGGAUGAUAAUGACAGUACCGGGAGAAUAAGCACCGGCUAACUCCGUG